Molecule: non-coding RNA, 289 nt
Organism: Paramuricea clavata
Lineage: Eukaryota; Metazoa; Cnidaria; Anthozoa; Malacalcyonacea; Plexauridae
Source: the annotation of a GenBank genome assembly
UAAUAUUGCCUCAAAUUUCAAUUUUCCACAAACGUUUUCCUCUAAGUGGAAACACUUACAAGCAUGAUCCAAUAAAAAAGUUUAGGGUCGGGAUUUCGACGUCCAAAAGCCAGGUAGGGUCGGGAAACCGGAAACCCACAUAUUUUUUUUGGCCUAAGGCUUCCUCACAAAAGAUUGUUUAAAAAAAAAGGAAAAAAAAAGAAACGUCGAAAUUCUCUUUAUAUUUUUCAAGUAGUUGCAUCCCUACGAACGAAAGCUUGUUCAUACUAUUAAAACUACCUACACUGGC